This 460-nucleotide ribosomal RNA is filed under the name uncultured bacterium. RNAcentral describes it as "partial 16S ribosomal RNA". It matches the Rfam family "Bacterial small subunit ribosomal RNA", at positions 338 to 795 of the family's 1533-position model. The record is from RNAcentral.
CCUACGGGAGGCAGCAGUGAGGAAUAUUGGUCAAUGGUCGGGAGACUGAACCAGCCAAGCCGCGUGAGGGAUGAAGGUACAGAGUAUCGUAAACCUCUUUUGCCGGGGAGCAACGGGGUCCUUGCGAGGGCCCGAUGAGAGUACCCGGAGAAAAAGCAUCGGCUAACUCCGUGCCAGCAGCCGCGGUAAUACGGAGGAUGAGAGCGUUAUCCGGAUUUAUUGGGUUUAAAGGGUGCGUAGGCGGGCUGGUAAGUCAGCGGUCAAAUGUCGGGGCACAACCCCGGCCUGCCGUUGAAACUGGCGGCCUCGAGUGGGCGAGAAGUAUGCGGAAUGCGUGGUGUAGCGGUGAAAUGCAUAGAUAUCACGCAGAACUCCGAUUGCGAAGGCAGCAUACCGGCGCCCGACUGACGCUGAGGCACGAAAGCGUGGGUAUCGAACAGGAUUAGAUACCCCUGUAGUC